Molecule: ribosomal RNA, 253 nt
Filed under: uncultured bacterium
Lineage: Bacteria
Description: partial 16S ribosomal RNA
Rfam family: Bacterial small subunit ribosomal RNA
Source: RNAcentral
UACGUAGGGGGCAAGCGUUGUCCGGAAUCAUUGGGCGUAAAGAGCGUGUAGGCGGCCCGAUAAGUCCGCUGUGAAAGUCCAGGGCUCAACCCUGGGAUGCCGGUGGAUACUGUCGGGCUCGAGUCCGGAAGAGGCGAGUGGAAUUCCUGGUGUAGCGGUGAAAUGCGCAGAUAUCAGGAGGAACACCAAUGGCGAAGGCAGCUCGCUGGGACGUGACUGACGCUGAGGAGCGAAAGCGUGGGGAGCGAACAGG